RNAcentral lists this ribosomal RNA (397 nucleotides) under uncultured bacterium. RNAcentral's name for it is "partial 16S ribosomal RNA". It matches the Rfam family "Bacterial small subunit ribosomal RNA", at positions 523 to 918 of the family's 1533-position model. The record is from RNAcentral.
AUACGAAGGGUGCAAGCGUUGUUCGGAUUUACUGGGCGUAAAGCGUCCGUAGGUGGUUUGUUAAGUCAGGGGUGAAAUCCCGGGGCCUAACCCCGGAACUGCCUUUGAUACUGGCAGGCUGGAGCGCGAUAGAGGAAGAUGGAAUAUCUGGUGUAGGGGUGAAAUCCGUAGAUAUCAGAUAGAACACCAAUGGCGGAGGCAGUCUUCUGGAUCGUUGCUGACACUGAGGGACGAAAGCGUGGGUAGCAAACAGAAUUAGAUACUCUGGUAGUCCACGCCCUAAACGAUGCAUGCUUGUUGUUGGUUUCCUUCGGGGAAUCAGUGACGAAGCUAACGCGUUAAGCAUGCCGCCUGGGGACUACGAUCGCAAGAUUAAAACUUAAAGGAAUUGACGGGG